This 327-nucleotide unclassified non-coding RNA is filed under the name soil metagenome. RNAcentral describes it as "partial contains 5.8S ribosomal RNA, internal transcribed spacer 2, and large subunit ribosomal RNA". The stretch from base 1 to 120 matches the Rfam family "5.8S ribosomal RNA", at positions 35 to 154 of the family's 154-position model. The record is from RNAcentral.
GAUGAAGAACGCAGCGAAAUGCGAUAAGUAAUGUGAAUUGCAGAAUUCAGUGAAUCAUCGAAUCUUUGAACGCACAUUGCGCCCCUUGGUAUUCCGAGGGGCAUGCCUGUUCGAGCGUCAUUAUAACCCUCAAGCUCAGCUUGGUGUUGGGGCCUGCUGCACUGGCAGCCCUUAACAUCAGUGGCGGCGCCAUCUGGCUCUAAGCGUAGUAAUUCUUCUCGCUAUGGAGUCCUGGUGGAUGCUUGCCAUCAACCCCCAAUUUUUCUAUGGUUGACCUCGGAUCAGGUAGGGAUACCCGCUGAACUUAAGCAUAUCAAUAGCGGAGGA